GCGGUGGAGCAUGUGGUUUAAUUCGACGCAACGCGAAGAACCUUACCAGGGCUUGACAGUCCCUGACCGCGUAUGAAAGUACGUUUUCACCCUCGGGUGACAGGGAGACAGGUGGUGCAUGGUUGUCGUCAGCUCGUGUCGUGAGAUGUUGGGUUAAGUCCCGCAACGAGCGCAACCCCUACGUUUAGUUGCUAACGCGUGAAGGCGAGCACUCUAGACGAACUGCCGUUGACAAAACGGAGGAAGGUGGGGAUGACGUCAAAUCAUCAUGCCCCUUAUGUUCUGGGCUACACACGUGCUACAAUGGCCGGUACAGACGGACGCAAAGCCGCGAGGUGGAGCAAAUCCUAAAAAGCCGGUCUCAGUUCGGAUUGCAGGCUGCAAUUCGCCUGCAUGAAGUCGGAAUCGCUAGUAAUCGCAGGUCAGCAUACUGCGGUGAAUACGUUCCCGGGCCUU
This 456-nucleotide ribosomal RNA is filed under the name uncultured Pelotomaculum sp. RNAcentral describes it as "bacterial SSU rRNA". It matches the Rfam family "Bacterial small subunit ribosomal RNA", at positions 929 to 1382 of the family's 1533-position model. The record is from RNAcentral. Lineage: Bacteria; Bacillati; Bacillota; Clostridia; Eubacteriales; Desulfotomaculaceae.